This 342-nucleotide ribosomal RNA is filed under the name uncultured Pseudomonadota bacterium. Its description in RNAcentral is "bacterial SSU rRNA". It matches the Rfam family "Bacterial small subunit ribosomal RNA", at positions 29 to 351 of the family's 1533-position model. The record is from RNAcentral. Lineage: Bacteria; Pseudomonadati; Pseudomonadota.
AACGAACGCUGGCGGCGUGCCUAACACAUGCAAGUCGCGCGAGAAAACCUCCGCAAGGGGGCGAGUAAAGCGGCGCACGGGUGAGUAACACGUGGAUAACCUGCCUAGAAGACCGGAAUAACCCUUCGAAAGGAGGACUAAUACCGGAUAAGACCACGGGGGCUUCGGCUCCUGCGGUAAAAAGGUGGCCUCUGUAUACAAGCUAUCACUUCUAGAGGGGUCCGCGGCCCAUCAGCUAGUUGGCGGGGUAACGGCCCACCAAGGCGACGACGGGUAGCUGGUCUGAGAGGACGAUCAGCCACACUGGAACUGAGACACGGUCCAGACUCCUACGGGAGGCUG